AGUGAACGCUGGCGGUAGGCCUAACACAUGCAAGUCGAACGGCAGCACAGUAAGAGCUUGCUCUUACGGGUGGCGAGUGGCGGACGGGUGAGGAAUACAUCGGAAUCUACUUUUUCGUGGGGGAUAACGUAGGGACACUUACGCUAAUACCGCAUACGACCUACGGGUGAAAGCAGGGGAUCUUCGGACCUUGCGCGAUUGAAUGAGCCGAUGUCGGAUUAGCUAGUUGGCGGGGUAAAGGCCCACCAAGGCGACGAUCCGUAGCUGGUCUGAGAGGAUGAUCAGCCACACUGGAACUGAGACACGGUCCAGACUCCUACGGGAGGCAGCAGUGGGGAAUAUUGGACAAUGGGCGCAAGCCUGAUCCAGCCAUGCCGCGUGUGUGAAGAAGGCCUUCGGGUUGUAAAGCCCUUUUGUUGGGAAAGAAAAGCAGCAGGUUAAUACCCCGCUGUUCUGACGGUACCCAAAGAAUAAGCACCGGCUAACUUCGUG
This 492-nucleotide ribosomal RNA is filed under the name uncultured bacterium. Its description in RNAcentral is "partial 16S ribosomal RNA". It matches the Rfam family "Bacterial small subunit ribosomal RNA", at positions 29 to 507 of the family's 1533-position model. The record is from RNAcentral.